Molecule: ribosomal RNA, 402 nt
Filed under: uncultured bacterium
Lineage: Bacteria
Description: bacterial SSU rRNA
Rfam family: Bacterial small subunit ribosomal RNA
Source: RNAcentral
UCGGGAAUUUUGGGCAAUGGGCGAAAGCCUGACCCAGCAACGCCGCGUGAGGGAUGAAGUAUUUCGGUAUGUAAACCUCGAAAGAAUGGGAAGAAUAAAUGACGGUACCAUUUAUAAGCUCCGGCUAACUACGUGCCAGCAGCCGCGGUAAUACGGAGGGAGCAAGCGUUGUUCGGAUUUACUGGGCGUAAAGGGCGCGUGGGCGGCGCGGUAAGUCACUUGUGAAAUCUCUGAGCUUAACUCAGAACGGCCAAGUGAUACUGCUGUGCUAGAGUGCGGAAGAGGCAACCGGAAUUCUUGGUGUAGCGGUGAAAUGCGUAGAUAUCAAGAGGAACACCUGAGGCGAAGGCGGGUUGCUGGGCCGACACUGACGCUGAUGCGCGAAAGCCAGGGGAGCAAACG